AACGGUCUAUACCUGCGGUACCUGCGGAAGGAUCAUUAUUGAGUGUUAACCUACACCCCGUAAAAAAGGGUGUGGUACCUCCUGUCCUUUGCAGGCCCCUUUUAUUGGGGGCUUUUUUAAGACUUUCUGCUUCGGCGGGGUAACUCCCGCCGGAACACCCUCAAAAAAAUCUUGAAUUUAAAAAACCGUUCAGUCCGAGAAAUUUUUUAAAAAUUAAAAAAAAACUUUUAACAAUGGAUC
RNAcentral lists this unclassified non-coding RNA (240 nucleotides) under soil metagenome. RNAcentral describes it as "partial contains 5.8S ribosomal RNA, internal transcribed spacer 2, and large subunit ribosomal RNA". The record is from RNAcentral.